RNAcentral lists this long non-coding RNA (471 nucleotides) under Ananas comosus (pineapple). RNAcentral describes it as "long non-coding RNA (ACOM_LNC038311)". Lineage: Eukaryota; Viridiplantae; Streptophyta; Magnoliopsida; Poales; Bromeliaceae. The record is from RNAcentral.
AACAAUGUCAACUCAGACCAAAUCUCAAAUAAGGACUGUAAUCAUACCCGUCCCUGGGACUGUGAACACACCCGUCCCGCCUGGUUGUUACUAUACAGCUACAUCCACACUAACCAAUCUGUGGAGAGCAAGUCCAACCUGUACGAACGACACCAACGCAAAAGCACAACGCUCGUCUCCGGAGUGGCACUCGUGGGAGUUACCCAACCGAGUAUACAACGUAUCUUUGUCAAGCUCAAUCAGGCUCUAACAAACCAAAGUCAAGUAGUUAGGGUCAAAACAGGUCUAGAAACCAAACCUACGUGCCCUCGGCAUAAUCUAAGACCCAAAACAGAAAUUUGGGUCCACCGUCCACCCCGACAGCACCCGACAACCCGAAACAGCCUAAACUCUACUGUAAAAAUAAGCUCGGCAUCCUAACACGAGCGUAAAUGCAUUCUAAACUACCCCGGGUAUCCACCGUGCUGAAAC